AGAGUGAACGCUGGCGGUAGGCCUAACACAUGCAAGUCGAACGGCAGCACAGUGGUAGCAAUACCAUGGGUGGCGAGUGGCGGACGGGUGAGGAAUACAUCGGAAUCUACCUUUUCGUGGGGGAUAACGUAGGGAAACUUACGCUAAUACCGCAUACGCCCUUCGGGGGAAAGCCGGGAUCGCAAGACCUGGCGCGGAUAGAUGAGCCGAUGUAGGAUUAGCUAGUUGGUGAGGUAAAGGCUCACCAAGGCGACGAUCCUUAGCUGGUCUGAGAGGAUGAUCAGCCACACUGGGACUGAGACACGGCCCAGACU
Molecule: ribosomal RNA, 314 nt
Filed under: uncultured soil bacterium
Lineage: Bacteria
Description: bacterial SSU rRNA
Rfam family: Bacterial small subunit ribosomal RNA
Source: RNAcentral